RNAcentral lists this long non-coding RNA (3756 nucleotides) under Sus scrofa (pig). RNAcentral's name for it is "lncRNA (ENSSSCG00000062953.1)". The record is from RNAcentral. Lineage: Eukaryota; Metazoa; Chordata; Mammalia; Artiodactyla; Suidae.
UUUGUGAGGAUGUGGGUUUGAUACCUGGUCUCACUCAGUGGGUUAAGUAUCUGGCAUUAGCUCAAGCUGUGGUAUAGGUCACAGAGGUGGCUCAGAUCUGGCAUUGCUAUGGCUGUGGUGUAGGCCGGCAGUUGCAGAUCUAAUUCAAUCCCUAGCCCAGGAACUUCCAUAUACUGCAGGUGUGGCCGUAAAAAUAAAACAAAGUAAAAAAUAAAAAUAAAAACAUCUAUUUGCACUGUUGGCCUUUGACUAGCAUCCAGAAACUUGGGUUUAGAGAGUGUUCCCAUAUUCCUGAACAGAUAAGGGUGGUAUGCUGAACCUAAACACUUUGUGUGAACAAUACAGUUUGUGCUGGAUACCUGCUUUUUCCAGGGAGUCCAGAGUUUGAGUAUCUGCUAGGCAGAGUGUGCCUAUGUGAUGAGCACUGAUAAAAAUCCUGGGCCCUGAGUCUCCAAGCAUAUUCCCUGGAAGAUAAUAUCUCACACAUAAUGUUACCACUCGUUGCAACCCAGUGCAUUCCUUGUGACUCCACUGAGAGGAAACUCUUGGAAGCCCAGGCCUGGUUUCCUCUGGACUUUACCCAACCUUGCACACAACAGAUGUUUCUAAGUCUAGACAACUCAGCUCAAACCUAUGGUUGAGCCUUUACCACACAGGUGGUCUCUUCCUGGUAUUGUGUGGGUUAUUAAUAUUUUGUCUGAUUUUAUUAAUUUUGAGCAACAAAUAAGGAAAAGUAGAAGCAAUGAAUCCUCUUGAAUUCCCAUGAGUAAACAUUUUAAAUAGUUACUAGGGUGGUUUCAGAAGUACAUAUACAUAUAUAUUUGCUAUAGGUCACAGUUAGACUUGCAGCAAUUUUUUCUACUCAACUCCCGCACAUUUCAUAAGAAAAUUAAGUUUGCUUCAGAAUAUAUUCUGUUUCCUCUUUGCUGAUUUUGCUUUGUAGGCUUUUGCUGUGGUAAAUCAUACCCUGAACAUAUGCUAAGUCCUGUGUGUCUUUCUAAUAAAUCACUGAACCUAUGGUGGUGGGGGGGGACCUCUGACUAUUGGGAUAAUAAUAGUUAAAAAAAUAACCUGCAUAAUCUGACUAAUAUCAUUGGAUGGCUAGGUAUAGUCUGUUAAUGAAUCAGAUUUUCUGCUACUUAAAAAAUUUCUAUGUUAAAGAACAACACUUUGGAGAAUAUGUCAAAAAGUCAAGAGAUUUUUUUUUAUUCUCUGUUUUUUAAUUGAAGUAUAGUUGAUUUACAAUGUUUUGCUAGUUUCAGGUAUACAGUAAUAUGAUUCAGUUAUAUAUAGAAAAGUAUAUAGAUACAUAGAAAUAAAAAAAUGAUAGAAAGGUAAAUAGAAAGAAAAAUAUACAGAUAUAGAUAGAUGAUAGAUAGACAGGUAGAUAGAUAAAGUAGACAUUCUUUUUCAAAUUCUUUUCCCUUAUAGGUUAUAACAAGAUAUUGAGUAUAGUUCUCUAUACUACAUAGUAGGAAGUUGUUUAUUUUAUAUAUAGCAGUGUGUAUAUAUUAAUCCUAAACUCCAAAUUUAUCUCUUCCCUGCCCAUUUCCCCUUUGGUAACCAUAAGUUUAUUUUCUAUGUCUGUGGGUCUAUUUCUAUUUUGUAAAUAAUAUCAUUUGCAUCAUUUUUUUAGACUCCGCAUAUAAAUGAUAUCCUAUGGUAUCUGUCUUUUUCUGUCUGGCUUACUUUACUUAGCUGGUAAGUGACCAUAUUGCCAAUGAGCAGUUUGGGGAGGGGGCUGCAGUGGGACAGACUAUAAAGGAAGGGACAGACUCUCCCCUGUGAUUUAGAGUUCUCAGUCCAGUUGGACAUUCUUCCAGGCUCCAGUUUACUAAUCUAAGAUGACACCACUGGGAGGAUUCACAUCAACACAAAAAUGUGUUUGUGUAAAUCUUCCCAAGCCUGGCUAAGGAUUAAAUGAAAGCCUCUCUAUGAAUCUCAAAAUAGCUGUGCCAACUUUUAACUUCGCACACAGGGAUGCUACUGUACUCUUUAAGCACUUGGAUAAACACAAUCUCUCAUACAUAUCAAACACUUCUUUCAAGCACCUUUCUUUAACCAUCUCUCCUCUUAUCUCCAGGUGGCAUGGAGUUCACAGUCAGAAGCUUUUUUGAAGGACAAGAACAAAAUACAUUUCAAAAUCUAUAGGACAGCAGAAAGAAAUGAAUUUUUUUCCUCAUGGCUAUUACAUUUCAAUAAGUAUGGGAUAAAAAGGAAAAAUAUACACAUAUCCCAGUGACCUGAUCUACAGAAUAAUGUAAAGCAAAACUGACUCCUACAUUUACUUCAUGCCUAUCCCAAAAUAUCAGGGAAAUGACAAAGAUAUUUGAAAACAAAUCCAAAAUUGUGUUGGAAAAAAAGGAAGGGUGUUAUCAGCAGGUGACAAUAGACAGUGGAGAAACAUACAUGCCAAUAUAGGGAGAGUCAGAGGCUCAUCAGAGAUGUUGGCUGAUGUGUUUGGGAAAUCGUUGGGUGAGUGAUGCUCACAAUACAGUACACUGAGCCCUAAUUCUACCGCCACUGGGAAGGAAGCUCUGAAGACUGAAAGCUCCAGUCUAGCUUUAACAGUAAUGAAACCAGCAUUUUAUGUGGGUUUUUUGUUGUUGUUGUUAAAGAAUAGUUGAUUUAUGAUAUUGUGCCCAUUUCUGCUAUACAGCAAAGUGACCCAGUCAUACAUAUACAUACAUUAUUUUUCUCAUAUUAUUUUCCAUCAUGUUCUAUCCCAAGAGACUGGAUAGAGUUCCCAGAGCUAUAUAACAGGACCUCAUUGCUUAUCCAUUCUAAAUGUCAUAGUUUGCUUGUACCAACCCCAAACUCCCUGUCCAUCUUACUCCCUUCUCCCUGCCCUUUGGCAACCAGAAGUUUGUUCUCUAUGCCUGUGAGUCUGUUUCUGUUCUGUAGAUAGGUUCAUUUGUCCCCUAUUUUAUAUUCUACAUAUAAGUGACAUAAAUCAUACAUGUACCCUUAUGCUCAGAGCAGCGCUAUUCAUAAUAGCCAAAACAUGGAAGCAACCUAAAUGUCCAUCAACAGAAGAAUGGAUUAAGAAGAUGUGGGCCAAAUAUAUAAUGGAAUAUUAUUCAGCCAUAAAAAGGACAAAAUAAUGCCAUUCUCAUUAUCCAGCAACAUGGACGCAACUAGAGAUUCUCAUACUAAGUGAAGUAAAUCAGAAAGAAACAAAUAUUUUAAACAAACAAAUUUAACUUUUUCAUAGAUUCCUUUCAUUUGAAACCUGUAGAAAGAAUCAAUGCAGCUGGUGGUACUCAGACCGUCUCUGUGUUUUACUUGGAGCCCCAUGCAGCCUGACACUCACAAGAGAAGUAUAGUAAAUGCUAAGCUACUGACAAAAGAACCUUAAUUCUUUCAUCAACCCUUCAAAAAUGGUCACAAUUUAACUUUUAUAUGAUUGAUGUCUCAUAUGGAGAUGGCCAGGCCAUAGCUUACAAAACACUUUUCUAAACUGUUUUAAGCACAUGAUUAGCUUAUAUGUUAAAAAAAAAAAAAAAAAGAAAGAAAGAAAAAAAAAUCACUCUAUGGAGUUCCCGUCAUGGUGCAGCAGAAACCAAUCCAACUAGGAACCAUGAGGUUGCGGGUCCCAUCCCUGGCUUCGCUCAGUGCAUUAAGGAUCCAGAAUUGCCGUAAGCUGUGGUGUAGGUCACAGACAUGGCUUGCAUGUGGUGUUGCUGUGGCUCUGGCAUAGGCCAGCAGCAACAGCUCCAAUUAGACCCCUACCCUGGGAACCUCCAUAUGCCACAG